RNAcentral lists this ribosomal RNA (372 nucleotides) under uncultured bacterium. RNAcentral describes it as "partial 16S ribosomal RNA". It matches the Rfam family "Bacterial small subunit ribosomal RNA", at positions 338 to 724 of the family's 1533-position model. The record is from RNAcentral.
CCUACGGGUGGCAGCAGUGGGGAAUAUUGCACAAUGGGCGAAAGCCUGAUGCAGCAACGCCGCGUGAAUGAAGAAGGGUUUCGGCUCGUAAACUUCUAUCAACCGGGACGAAGGAAGUAACGGUACCUAAAUAAGAAGCCCCGGCUAACUACGUGCCAGCAGCCGCGGUACUACGUAGGGGGCAAGCGUUAUACGGAAUUACUGGGUGUAAAGGGUGAGUAGGCGGCAUGGUAAGCCAGAUGUGAAAGCCCUGGGCUUAACCCGAGGAUUGCAUUUGGAACUAUCAAGCUAGAGUACAGGAGAGGAAAGUGGAAUUCCUAGUGUAGCGGUGAAAUGCGUAGAUAUGAGGAAGAAUACCAGUGGCGAAGGCGG